AUUGAACGCUGGCGGCAGGCCUAACACAUGCAAGUCGAACGGUAACAGGAAGAAGCUUGCUUCUUUGCUGACGAGUGGCGGACGGGUGAGUAAUGUCUGGGAAACUGCCUGAUGGAGGGAGAUAACUACUGGAAACGGUAGCUAAUACCGCAUAACGUCGCAAGACCAAAGAGGGGGACCUUCGGGCCUCUUGCCAUCGGAUGUGCCCAGAUGGGAUUAGCUAGUAGGUGGGGUAACGGCUCACCUAGGCGACGAUCCCUAGCUGGUCUGAGAGGAUGACCAGCCACACUGGAACUGGGACACGGUCCAGACUCCUACGGGGGGCAGCAGGGGGGAAUAUUGCACAAGGGGCGAAAGCCUGAUGCCGCCAUGCCGCGUGUAUGAAAAAGGCCUUGGGGUUGUAAAGUACUUUCAGGGGGGAGGAAGGGAUUAAAGUUAAUCCCUUUGCUCAGUGACUGUACCCGAAAAAGAAGCCCCGGCAAACCCCG
This 488-nucleotide ribosomal RNA is filed under the name uncultured bacterium. RNAcentral's name for it is "partial 16S ribosomal RNA". It matches the Rfam family "Bacterial small subunit ribosomal RNA", at positions 30 to 505 of the family's 1533-position model. The record is from RNAcentral.